RNAcentral lists this ribosomal RNA (313 nucleotides) under Snodgrassella alvi. RNAcentral's name for it is "bacterial LSU rRNA". It matches the Rfam family "Bacterial large subunit ribosomal RNA", at positions 2620 to 2925 of the family's 2925-position model. Lineage: Bacteria; Pseudomonadati; Pseudomonadota; Betaproteobacteria; Neisseriales; Neisseriaceae. The record is from RNAcentral.
CGUGAGACAGUUUGGUCCCUAUCUGCAGUGGGCGUUGGAAGUUUGACGGGGGCUGCUCCUAGUACGAGAGGACCGGAGUGGACGAACCUCUGGUGUACCGGUUGUGACGCCAGUCGCAUCGCCGGGUAGCUAAGUUCGGAAGAGAUAAACGCUGAAAGCAUCUAAGCGUGAAACUCGCCUGAAGAUGAGACUUCCCUAGGGAUUAAAUCCCUCUAAAGAGACGUUCGAGACCAGGACGUUGAUAGGUCGGGUGUGGAAGAGUGGUAACACUUGCAGCUAACCGAUACUAAUUGCUCGUGAGGCUUGACUCUAU